AUCUAGCUGACGAGUCCAAAAUAGAACGAAAUGAAUGUCCUGAAU
This 45-nucleotide non-coding RNA is filed under the name Schistosoma mansoni. The record is from RNAcentral. Lineage: Eukaryota; Metazoa; Platyhelminthes; Trematoda; Strigeidida; Schistosomatidae.